RNA transcript from Pecten maximus, 2451 nucleotides. RefSeq lists it as uncharacterized. NCBI's taxonomy places the organism in Eukaryota, Metazoa, Mollusca, Bivalvia, Pectinida, Pectinidae. The transcript has 14 exons. The record is from RefSeq and is a predicted model, not a curated record.
AGGCAAUUAACAUAAUGCUACAAUAUGAAAUUUAAACGUUUAAGUAUGAUGAUAUUAUACUAAAAUGACACCAUUUAAAACCAUGAACCUAAUCUGAGCCAAGUGUUGCUGUUAAAGAGCCAUCCAUCUGUCUCUGAAAAUCUGCCACAUCAUUUAUAACCGAUUUGAUUAUUUAUGCUUGGUUACAAUAACGUCAACUUCGGAACGUGCGUAUCGUUCCUAGGGAUUCCAGUUUUCAUCGAAUGUGAAGGUAUAAUUCAAAUAAGCGUACUAGUAUUUACAUCAGAGCAGAAUACACGUGACAAAACGAGAGUGCUGAGUAUGUCUUGGAUAAUCAUCCUCUGUCUGGCUAUUAUAAGUAUAGAACAGUGUGUAGCCUGUUCUUGUUCCAGGGUUAACGGGAACCUGCGCAACCAAUUUUGCAAGGAUGAUAUUGAGCUAAUCGUGAGGGGCGUGGUCCUGAACGAGACGCUAUUGACACGCCGAAAAGAUGACCCUUUUGACGACCAAUUCUUGUAUGGGUUUGAAAUAACAAAUAUCGUCCAGGCAACUUCGACUGCUUUAGCACGAGUUGGAGGGGAAAACGUGGUCUAUCUACACACGGCGGCGUUUGGCUCCCUGUGUGGCGUACAGUUGACUGUCGGCACAGACUACGUCAUCACAUUCGAUUCCUACAGUUGGGAUUGGAGUCAGCAGGGAUCAUUUAUGGUAUAUUUGUGUGGAUAUCACAUACAUGUACCUUACGAUGACCUGUUUCCUGGUGAACUUGAAGUGCUCGAGGAAGGAGACUUAGAUUGUACCAACAUCAAUGGAGAAGUAGAGUGCAAACCCAAAGAAGAUGGCGGAAUGCAGUGCUGUCGACACACAGGGCUGUCGGGGAGGGGACCUGAUGAAUGCUUCGAUGUCGAAGAUUCCAAUGAGCAAUAACAGAUCAUCACAGUGUCUCAGUAUAACAAACCUGGGCCGGUACUGAACAAGUUCGCCGUAUUGUCAAUUGAUGACGCAUCGUCGUUCGUAUUACCAUAUUGUAUUGGACCAAACCUUGCUAUUGCAAAUAAACAAGAUCAUUAGAAAUAUGGUUUACGUUCUUUUCUUUUUAUCGACACUAGUUUACAAUACAUACAUACAUGUAUAUGCGACUUAGUUUCUAUUGGAACACUCUGGUACAGAUACUUUAGAUAAAUACGUCACUUUCUUAGUUCCAACUUUGUUGUGUUCAAAUGGAAUUAAUUUCAGUAGUAACUACUCCUUUUACAUUUCAGUAACAGAGAUGAUUUGUUUUCUUAUGAUAAUCUGCCUUGUUGGGACGUUAUGUCAACACAUAUGAAUAUAAAGCUUUAUCAGAGCAAUAUUCAAAACCUCGGACAUUUAACGAUUUUAUGAGGAUGGAAAGAUCGGACAGUUGAGACAAGUAGACAAAUAUGGUGUAGUCGUGACAUUAUUGGUUGGAUAAACAAGAACUAUUAAAAUAAAUAUACAAUUGCCAUAGAUAAUGUCACAUACAUACUGCCCCCGGUUUUCAGUUAAUAAUGACAGAUAACACAGACAAUUACUCAAUUGUACAUCCAUUAUUUUAAUAUGAAGUCCACGUUUAUGACAUUCUGAACGUAUGUUUAGCAUCAGAUAUAACGGUUCAACACUGAAUUGAUCCAGCUGUGAAUUUUUUUCCCGCUUGCUGAAACUUGAACUGUGUUCAUCUUCGGAAGAGUUUAAUGAUGGAAAUCCACAGGAUCCUUGUUGCGUUCGUACUCGCAGUGUUUGUUUUAGAUGGUAAAAAUGUUGAAGCAUGCUUCUGUCCGAAAUCUCACCCGCAGACAGACUUCUGUCAUCUCAGUAGCUUUGCUAUUGUUGGGUUUGUCAAUGACGUCACCGAGAAUCAGAAGGACAGAAGAUUCUCUGUGACCGUUCAGCACAUGUUAAAGCUUCCUGACAGUUAUACUGUUACAGACAAGGAACAGCUCGACCUGAUAUCUUACAAAGGGCCUACAUUGUGUGAACUAGAACUAGAGCCAGGACGACUGUACUUAAUCACAGGAUAUGUGAGCACCGACAACGUCUACCUUGUGAACUCCUGCCUGUGGACAGAAGAUUUCAAUGCUCUGUCACUCAACAAGUUUAACGGCCUUCUCGGGGACUAUGACUGCAGCUGCUAUAUAAAUGAUUGGGGACUGAUACCACCACACGCAACCCCUAGUGAUGUCUGUAACUAUGACCAAACAUCUAACUGUGAAAAGGCAGCAUGCAUGAGAAAUGAACUCGGAACGUGCGAAUGGAUUCUGGACUGUACUGAUCAAAAGAGGACAAGUCCUGAUGUUCUCAGUUUGAAAACGAUAAUCAACAAAAAACUGAACAACAUCUUGUAAAUUUUUCUUUUUCAAUUCUUGACACAUUGUAUUUUUAUAUAAUUAUUCAGUCCAUCAUAUAACCAAUGAUAAAUUGAUUUCAAUCUGA